Long non-coding RNA from Piliocolobus tephrosceles (Ugandan red Colobus), 3307 nucleotides. The record is from Ensembl. NCBI's taxonomy places the organism in Eukaryota, Metazoa, Chordata, Mammalia, Primates, Cercopithecidae.
AAUACACAAAAUAAUUUAAAUAAAAAUAAUUCUUUUUUUUUUAAUAAUUCAAAUGAUGUUAACAAAAGUAACAAUAGUAUUUUUGGUAAUGUAGCUUCAAGUACUUCAGCACAGUCUACAACACCCAAUGCUUUCAACCCUAAUUUAUUCAGCGCAGCAAAAAAGGAUAUUUAUCCAGGCUUCACGAGAUCAUUAGCUAGUAAUAAUUCUACAAACAGUGGUAGUGGUAUAUUCAAACAAAGCACAUUAGGAAGUUCCAUAGCGUUAGGAAGUCAACUAAAUGAAGAGAGACGAAGUGCAGAUGGUGGUGGUUUAUUUUCAAAAGAACAAUUAGAAGCAGCCAAACAAAUUUUUGCUAAUUCAUCAGCUACAUCUACAUCACUAUCAGGUUUUGGAAAUAAUACAAGUACAAUUAAUAAUAAUAACAACAGUUUAAAUAAUAACAAUAAUAAUAGUAAUAAUAUUAACAAAUUAACAACGUUUAGUGGUGGUUUUUCAAAUGCAGGUGCUUUUGCAAAAAGUAAUAUAAACCCAUUUCAAAGUAUGGCAUUAAAAACAAAUGCACAACAAGAGAAAUUAGCAGCAGCAGGAGUAACAUCAUCAUCUCUUUUAAAUACCUCUAUGUCAAAACCCUUUCUUACAAGUAGUAAUAAUGAAAAUAAAUUAAAUGCUUUUGGUAUGCCCAGUUUGAACACUUUGGGUUCUUCUUCAGGUAAUAAAUUUAAUACUACAUUUGAUGGGUUCGGUAAUAAUUUAAAGCCGUUAGGUUCCACUUCCACUACCACUAAUAAUAGUAGUACUACAAGUAAUAAUAGUCUUUUUUCAUUACAAAAUAAUAUGAAUACAACAAAUGCUUUUUCUAAUAAUGACAGUAGUAAUAAAACCGGAUUUACAAAUUUUACUGGUUCUUUUAGUGCAUUCGCAAAUAAUAAAACAAGUACGAGUGAUUUAUUCAAAUCGAGUAGUAACAUUAACUCUUCUUCUUUUUUAUCAUCUUCUGUUAAACCUACAAAUAAUGAGAGUAUAUUUUCUCUUGGUAGUAGCUCUUUUGGAGUAAACAAAAAUACUAAGAAUAAUGAAGGCAGUUCCUUGUUUGGUAGCAACAAUGCUAGCAUAGCUACAUCCAUAACUACACCCGAAAAUAACAACAAUAAUAGCAGCACGAGUAGUGGUAGUGUACUUCCGAAUUUAACACUAUCCACUAGUAACAAACUAAUAAAUGAAAAUGUUCUAACAGAUAGUACAAAUAAAACCAACGAAGAUAAAGACAAAACUUUGGAAAGUACAACAUCCACCAAAACAGAUAUAAGUCCAAUCACGAAUGAAAAUAAAAAUGAAAAGGAUAAAUUGCCAGUCGAAGAAAUGAAAAUUACACAACAUGAACAACAGAUAGAUAAAACCAAUAUUCAAGAUACUAAACCAAUAGGAGAUGAAAAAACACAAGUACAAGCUAUGAUGAAUGAAACUGUAACAGAAGAAAAUACAAAACAACAAGAUGAAAAACAAAAACUUCAAGUAGAGGCAGUCAAAACCGUUACAGAACAGUCUACAUAUAAUAAUCCUGAAUCUGUUGAAAAGAAAAAACCAAUAGAACAAAAAGAGCAGGCUAAACAAGAUGAACAAUCCAAAUCGGCAGAAUUAAAUAAAAACCCAAACGAUAGUGUUAAAGAAACGGCCGUCCCUCUCCCACCGCUACCUUCGUUUUUUAAAACAGUAGAUGAAAAAAAAGGAGAUGAAAAAAAAGAUGAAAAAAAAAAAGAUGAAAAAAAAAAAACAGAACAAAGCGAAAACACAGUUUCUAAUGAAGCUUUAACUAAUAAUAAAACGGCAUCAUCAUCGUCAGAGACAAGCAUUUUCGAUCCGAAACUAUCAUUAAAUGAAAAUAAUAAAACAAAUCAAAUAACCACACCAAAAGAAACAACUAGUUUAACUCAAAAAGAAAAGGAUAAAGAAUCAAGCAACGACACACAAAAAAAAUCAUCUUUAUUUAAUUUAAAAUUAGUUUCUAAUAUAUUCAGUAAGCAAGUAAAAGACUAUAACGAUAAAGAAAACAAAAAUGAUCCAAACAAAACUAAUGAGCGUAGUACUGAUAGUACUCAAGAAAAAUUAUUAAAAGAAAAAGAAAAAGAUUUAGGUGGUGAUGAAACAACUACAGAUAUAUUUACCAAAAAUAAUGAAAAUAAAAUAAAUAAUUUUCUAUUUAAAAAUACACAAAAUAAUCAAACUGAAUCUACCAUAAAAACAAUUGACGAAAUGGAAAAAUUGAAAAUUCAGGAAAACCAAAAGAAAGAUAUUAUCAAUGAAAAUAUUACCACUACUGCUACUACUCCAAUAAAUUUUAAUUUAGAUCCUAGAAACCUUUUUGGUAAUAUUAAUCAAAAUAAUGACAAAACAAAUAAUGAUAAUAACGCAAAACCAACUAAAUCUGUUUUUUUCUCUGACACUACUAUGUUUAAUCAAAAGUCAUCAACAGCAACGACAAAUAUACUUAAUCAAAACAAUUUAUCAAUAUCAAUAGAUGGUAAAAAAGAAACUAAUUUGUUUUCUCCAACAUUUAAAAAUUUUUCUUUGUUUGACUCUUCUGCUAAUAAUAACAAUAAUAAUGAAAGCUUGAGUAAUGAAGAGCUAAAAGAAAAAACAAUUACUGCUAAGCAGUUAAUAAACAACGUAUCUCAAAAUUAUAAUGACAUCAAAACUGAUAAUCAAGACGUAAAGGAAGUACAAAACAUGAUAAACUUUAUUACGUUAGAGGAUAGGAAAAAAAAUAUAUAUUUAGAUAAUACACUUGAAAUUGAUGAAAAAAAUAAAAAAAAAGGAAUUAAUUUAGUAUUAGGUGGUAAUGCAAAUAUUAAAAACAACCAAAACAUUGCUGACUCUUCACGACAUACAUUAAAUGUUCAGUUAAAAGAAUCAAAAGGUACUCUUCGAACGAAUGAUAUUACAAAAGAUAUGGACUUUAAAAAAUUCGAUUUCUGGUCUGAAAAAAAAGAUAUACAAAAUAAUAUACAACAACAACAACAACAACAAAUACAGUUAGAACAAGACAAAAAAGAAGUAGAAAAAAGUAUAAAAGAAAAUGAAUCGUUUUUUAAAAAAAACUUAGAUCAAGAAAUGGUUGUUGAUGUAAUUAAUAAUUUAUCUUCAUUUGUUAAAAAUAAAAUUAAUUUUAUGAAUUAUUGUUCUAAUGAAAUUUUAGAUACAUAUAACAAAUUAGCUCAUUAUGAAAAAAUGUAUACAUUGAUAUCAGAAGAUCAAAUAAAUAUUGAAAAAAAACAAGAAACAUUAGAAAAAAGAUUAAGAUAUAUAC